AUUCUCAUAAUCCUUAAAAGUUUCAGUUGAAAGUGUCUUCCAGAUGCUUCAGAUGGAUGUAUGCAGAUGAGACAACAAAGCUGUUGAUUUCUUUUCCUUGGUCCAGUAGAGCAUCUUUCCUUUGUGACUCAAACUUUUUUCGGGGGGGGGGGUGAAUUUUUUAAUUGAGGUAUAACUGACAUACAUUUUCAGGCGAUUCAAUAUCUGUAUAUACUACAAAGAAAGAAACAGAAGACUUAGCAUGCUCUCUGUCCCCACCCAGGACUUACGGGGAGAAAAGGAAGUGGUUAUUGACACUAGCAACGUUUGUGUGCUAAGAGUGCUCAUGUCAUUUGCUGGACCAAC
RNAcentral lists this long non-coding RNA (345 nucleotides) under Bos taurus (domestic cattle). RNAcentral's name for it is "long non-coding RNA NONBTAT019408". Lineage: Eukaryota; Metazoa; Chordata; Mammalia; Artiodactyla; Bovidae. The record is from RNAcentral.